This 460-nucleotide ribosomal RNA is filed under the name uncultured bacterium. RNAcentral's name for it is "partial 16S ribosomal RNA". It matches the Rfam family "Bacterial small subunit ribosomal RNA", at positions 338 to 795 of the family's 1533-position model. The record is from RNAcentral.
CCUACGGGUGGCUGCAGUGAGGAAUAUUGGGCAAUGGGCGAGAGCCUGAACCAGCCAAGUCGCGUGAGUGAAGACGGUUCUAUGGAUUGUAAACCUCUUUUUUCGGGGAGCAAAAAGGCCUCGUUAGGCCACAAGUGAGAGUACCCUAAGAAAAAGCAUCGGCUAAAGCCGUGCCAGCAGCCGCGGUAAUACGGAGGAUGCGAGCGUUAUUCGGAUUUAUUGGGUUUAAAGUGGGCGUAGGCGGACUGGAAAGUCAGCGGUAAAAUCGAGAGGCUCAACCUCUUUCCGCCGUUGAAACUGUCGGUCUUGAGUGGGCGAGAAGUAUGCGGAAUGCGUGGUGUAGCGGUGAAAUGCAUAGAUAUCACGCAGAACUCCGAUUGCGAAGGCAGCAUACCGGCGCCCGACUGACGCUGAGGCACGAAAGCGUGGGUAUCGAACAGGAUUAGAUACCCGGGUAGUC